Fundulus heteroclitus (mummichog) is the source of this 769-nucleotide long non-coding RNA. RefSeq lists it as uncharacterized. Lineage: Eukaryota; Metazoa; Chordata; Actinopteri; Cyprinodontiformes; Fundulidae. The transcript has 2 exons. The record is from RefSeq and is a predicted model, not a curated record.
UCUGCAUGUGUGCAGCCUGCACAUCUGUACCCUUUUGUCUUAAAUAUCAAAGGCGGCAAAGGCGCGUUAACAUUUCAGUAAUUCCAAAGCUGGAAGAGGAGGACAUGGGAGGGGGAAUGGUGCAAUGAAGAUUUAUCAGACUGAGAAAGAAGGGGUGGCGCUACGCAAAAAGCCAGACUCAAAGCACUUAACGGACGGAAAUACGGUCCUAAUGCAAGAUGAAAAGGAAGGGAAGCUAUGGAGGAGAGAAAAAGUAGGCAGAGGAGGAAGUCGAAGGAGGAAGCAGUGACCAGCACGGGGAAGGAAAUGUAUAUAUAUCGGGCAACCUGAAUCGAAGCAGACAGGCGGGCGGGCGGGCAGGUUCAGUAAGGGGUCCUUGUCACUAGUGUCAGCAGCGAGGUUGAAAACAGAGACGGCAGCACCGAGGGCAGGCUAACAGUGACAGGACCUCCGCUGCAGCCGUGACGGCCAGCUUCACUGGGGCCUUAAUUGGUCCUUUGAUGUUGCUGGAAAAGGUGGUGAAGGCGACGGAAAUGGGAUCUGUCCCCCUCUGCUCUCAUAUCAUUAUAUCACUAUGUAUUCGGUGUUUAUUUAUGAACCCUUAUUAUUUUAAUGCUCCUGGAGGGCGGCCUAUUUAUUGCCACUGUCACUUUUUUUGCCACCUCUCUCACCCGUUCAGUUUUGCCUCUUCUUGUCUUUGAUUUUUGGAUAUUAACCAGAGGUUUGGUUCGGUUUUGUAAUACAAAAAAAAGCACAUUUAAAAAAAAAA